GUUUACAGCAUGCCACCCUAAACUUGCUGGAUCUCAUCUAUCUCAGAAGCUAAGCUGGGUGGGGCCUGGUUAGUACUUGGAUGGGAGACCACCCAGGAAGACCAGAUGCUGUAGGUG
Molecule: ribosomal RNA, 117 nt
Organism: Pteropus vampyrus (large flying fox)
Lineage: Eukaryota; Metazoa; Chordata; Mammalia; Chiroptera; Pteropodidae
Source: Ensembl